UUUUUCUUCACUAAAAGGUAAGAACCUUGAUUUUAACUCCCUGUGCGUGUCUCUCCUUCGCGCUUCCAAACAACGCGAUCCAACCCUCUAGUUCUCUCCUCCGUAAUACGUGAAACCCAACAAAGAGGCACGCCAAAAGCAGCAGCAAGGACAUGCGCAGCGGUACCAAGUAUAAUCUCCUUGUAUUUUUCCUCGAUGUCCCUCUCAAUUAGUACCAUCGUAGCAGAAAAAUAAUAGGAGCACAUGAAAUUGUCCUUAGCGUGAUAUAGCUCCACGUAUCAUCUCAAGGAAAAGAUAUUGAUCCCAGCCAUCAAUUCUUUCUUUCCUCUUCCGAAAUGGGUCAAAACUUCAAAAAAAAAAGUUACUUGUCCAAAAGGGUGAAAGAUUUUGAGUUUUGAGUUUUGAUUUUGGGCCUUUCAGUCCGUAGUGUUUUUCGUCCGUUCCCCCCCAACCCCGCCCCAAUUUGCCAUAAUUCUUAGACUAUAAAUAUGCUAUUUCUUUUUCUUUUGGAGGUUGUUCAGUGUUGGGAGAAAAGGAGAUUUAGGACAGAAAAUGAUUUUUUGAAAAUCUUGGAUCGAUAAUACAUACAGCUUAAGGUGAAAUAGUUGAAAUACACACUUAGUGCUUCAAAGAAAACAGAGGAGAUAGUUUGUUCAGUUUUGAGAUUUAUAUCUCUGUAAAAACGUCCAAUUACUGUUCGUCUCUGUGCUCAUGUGGUGAAGGUCUUCGCUGCCUGCUCACUCAUUCAAAAUCACUGCACAUGAAAAGGUAACCCCUUCAGAUUUCUACUCGUUUCAUUAUUGUUUCACGCGCUCUCCUCGAGUAACUCUGUUCUCUGCCUGAUUCAUUGUUGUUGUGUGUUGAAAGUUGUUUUGGCUUUCGAGUGGGUUUUAACUUAGUAGAUUAAUAUGAAAGGCAUUCUUUCCGUGAGUCGUUCAUCUCUUGGCGUUUACAGAUAGGCUAAGUGAAGAAGUGAGGAUAAUUGUUCCUGUCUUCUUGAGUGUCUUUGUUGUUGGCUGAACAAUUUGUUAACUUUGCAUUCUGAAUAUUAAAAUUUGCGGUGUUUUUAUGUUCUUUCAAAAAAAAUUGUAAACUAUAUGGCUAUUGAUGUUUAAACUUUCUGUUUGCCUGUUAUUCCGCGUUGUUUCAAGUAUUUAUCGUUCAUCCACCGUCUGUUCCUGUCGGACUGACUCGUGAAAUAUUUCGAUUAUUGUUAUGCAUAUAAGAAUGUGGUCUAAAAUGUACAUGUCAGCUGUGUUUGUCUUCAAAUCAUUUUCUAUCACCCUAAAAAAAUUGUUACACUACUUGUUUAUUUUUCCAAAAUUUUCAUCGAUAUGUUUUUUCAGUUUUAAAAUGUUUCACUCAUCUUAGACUAUUUUUAAUUCGAUGUUAGUAUACAUUAUUGCAUCGCACUCGACGUCAUCUUCUUCUAUCUCUCGUUGCAAGUUCGGAGAAUGAAUCAAGAUGUCAAAAUUUGAAGUCCAUUUACUAUCUGUAUCGUUGCUUGUUUUAGGGUCUUUAGUUGUUUGUUUAAAUCAUGUUUAUUCGUACCCCUGCUCGAUUGGUUUGAAAUUUAACUCAUCUUGUCACUUUCGUUAAUUUGAAUCAAAAUGUCUCUUUCUGUUUAUGUGUGGAUUCGACGAAUACAUAGAUUGAUGGAAUCAAUAGCUCAGUUGUGAUUUGUUUGUAUUAUUUGGUGCCAACAACCAUUGAAAUUGCAGUCACUGUUAUUCCCUAUUUAGUUUUCAACUAAAUAUUUAUUCCUAUCUUUUUUAUAUUGACUUUUAGUUGAGAGUAACUAUGGCCUUAUUUAUUCAUUGCUUUCCUCUUCAGUUAAUUAUUAAUUUGUAAAUAAAAUGGCAGAUUUAGGGAAGAAGUGUCAGAAUCAUUUAUGGGCUUUAAAUGCUAGAAUGUGAUUAAAAAUUACUGCCAAACUUGAUUUUGUUUAAAAUAUUCAUAUAGUUGUCCUUGUAUAAUAAUCAUUUUUAUUUCUUAAAGUUGUCACAUGUUUUGAAUAUAUCUUUAUCUGUUAGGUAUAUUCUUGGAUAAAACUAUUGGUUCAAUUGCCUUCUAUUAACCAGCCUCUUAUUUAUUUCUUUAUCUUAAGGUGCUUCAGUUGAACUUCCUUUCUAUACCUUUAUUUCAGGAUUGGUCUAUUAAAGUUAAAAUAACAUACUAAUUUUUUUUGUCGCAUGAGAGAAUAUACCCGAGUUCACCAAGAACUCUCAUCUUUCCCUUACAUUUCGAGAGAGAUCUAAAGUAUCAUACUUCCUCUUAUCAAGUCAACCAGCCUUAUUUGAACAAACAUACAAGUCCCAAAGCGGAAGAACUUGAAGAUAUUGGACCUUAAAUGCCCAAAUUUAUUUGAAAUAUUGUAUUUUGUCAUUUCUUGGGCAUGAGCACUUGUGUUUUUUUAAAAUUAUUCUACUAUUACUGUAUGAUUAGUGUAGGGUAGGUACGAUUGAAGUGGGUCAAAAGCGCAACAAAAAAUGGGUCCAAAUACCGGUCCAGGCGAAAAGAAACCAGAUUUGGACCAAACUCUCUCUCUCUUACUUUAUCGCAUUUAUUUCCUUCUUUGUCAAUAUCUAUUGUUACUUUUAGGGUCAAAAAAAUUAAAUCCUCGCAAAACGCCAUAUCAUUUUGACAAUUUAAGCUAAAUCAACCCAUGUAUAAAAAGAUUUAGCGAUAUAAAUUUUUCAAAGUUAGUUGUUGGAUUACCACAAGUUAGUUGAUAUUUUACGUGCCAUAAAAAACCUUCCUAAAAUAUUUAUAAGAAGCCCCGAACCCCCUUUAAACUUUUCAAUGGAUUUGGUGUUUGAGAAUUUUUAAAACAAAUGUUUCUUGAUUUUCCUAAAAUUAAGUGAUGAUUAUAACAAGUCUAAAAUACUAAAAUAUUUUUUCCAAAAUAAAACAUGGCCCCACUUCUAUAAAUGAGGGACUACAAAGAUUUAGGAAAAGUUUCCCUUCAUUCAUACUUUAAAUCAUCUAAUAGAGUUGUGUGCUAAGGAACUUAGUCUAACUCGUGCAUUCCUCAGAUUCAUUUGAAUGCCACUCAUACUCAAGGUAGUUUAAAAGUAAAGUUAAGUUUAUUAUCGAUGAGUUACACUAGCCUAAACUCUUUUGAAAUUCAUGAUACUACAAAGGGUCUUAAGAGAAGCCCAUGAAUGACUAUAAGUGUUCAGAUUCAAAAGAAUGCACUCUUAUUCAUAUGAAUCGUGUGUUUGAGCUAAAAGCAAGAUAUAUUUCCAGACUCUUUUCUCUAAACCUUGUUUUAGUUGAGACCCUUAUGAGAAGUAUAUUUUGGAGCUUGGGUAGUAUUUUCACAUGAAAAGAUAGUAAGAGUUAUGAGAUUAUAAGAAGUGGUAAGAGUCCCCAAAGUUAGAAAUAAUGCAUGUAGAGGUUUAGUAAUCUAAGAAAGAGAGAAGGUAAUGAGGCAAGCUAUGUAUUAUUGUCAUGCAACUUGUAAGUUAGUUUUUAAUAAAAAGUUUUCCCUUAUGGGUAGACUAAGAGGUCCAAUUUUCGUAUAGACUUCAUGAUAAGAGGUAGAGUUAUAGUUACUAGUUAGGAUGAGGUAGAGUAUACUUUAACAAGAAAAGAGGUUAUGAAGACAUGUCAUUGUGUUAGUAAUGAGGUGAUAACUCUAAGGUAGGCUUAUGAUCUUUAAAGGAAGCUCAUAAUAUUCAAAGGGUAGUAGAACUAAUUAGGAAAUGAUGUCUGAAUGAGUAAAUAAUACAUAAGUCAUGAAAUAAAAUGUUAUGAUAAUUUGUAUGUACGUAGACAGAGAGAUAAAAUUGACCACUUUUGAUGAGAUUUUAGUGGGAGAGUAUUUCGUAAUAUGUAUCUAGUAAAUGUAAGUUAGUAUAGUAAGUAGUUGAUCAUAUUGAUAUUUGAGUUUAGUAAUAAACAUUAGGCUUGAAUUUGAUAUGAGAGCGAUAGCUAAAAAAUGAAUGGAAACAUGAGGGUGAUGAUGUUAGUUCGAGAUCUAAUAUGGUAGAUUUGACAGAUAGUAGGUAAGAAAUAGAGGUGUUACCAUUUACAAGCAUGAGUGGUACAAGUAUGAGAUUCUAACUUUUAGAAGGUAAAAAUGUAGUGUGGCUAUGUAAUUAGACUUACCAGAUAAUUGAGAUGCCUAACUGAGAUAGUAUGUAGUUAUAAGAUAUUACAAUUAGAUAAUGAUUAUUUUUCAUGUCUUCCUAUAUAGUAUAUCUGAUUUUUUCCCUUAAGAGUUAGACGACGCGAUCCUAUAAGCUAACGAGAAUAGGUUAGGAGAAGCAUCUUACAAAUAUGUCUCACAAUGAAUCUCAGUACCAGCUUACGGAGAGCCUAGUAGGCAUGAGAAAAUCCAUUUCCAAGUAUUAGAGUAAAAUAAAUAUAGACAAAUGUUGAGAUGAUGGAAUAGAUCCAUAAACUUUUCGGUGUCAAUCCAAACUUAAGGGGAGAUGAUAAUAUGAAUAACCAAGUCAAGUAUUACGGAUGAUAUAAUGAUGUGUUCCGAAAGAGGUAUAUCAAUCCAUUCAUAAUCUUUUGUAUUCCUCAAGUCCAGUUAUUAAUACAUCUUGUUGACGUUUCUAAUAUUUGAAUUGCGUGUAUGACCUAUGCUCAUAUACUUAAGAGAGAUUCAUAUCUAUGAUCAGUUUUAAAAAAUGAUGGGUAAAGACUUCAGCCCAUUAAUAUCAACCUUAAUUCAUAUCAUUAUAUGAACCCAUUCAUAUAACCAUUCAUGUCUCAUAGUAUGUUUAUUCUACCAAGUUUAUUAUUUACAAUCAAUGGCUAGCAAUAUAAUUUUGUUUCAUUCAUAUUCUUUUAUCGAAUAUCUCAAAUGAAUCGUGCUUAUAAUAUUUUUCCUUAAAUCCCUCUUAGUGAUCCCUUUUCGUUUAGGGUGUUGUUGUUCUUAAUAGUUGUGUGAAGGAUAGAAAAGAGGAUUGAUGUUUCUUGUUGUGAUAGUGAUGGUGUGUUUAUUCAAUCUAAGCUUAUAAAUGUAAAGGAAUAAGUAGAUAAGGUUUUGCAAUUAGUAAUGUAAUUUUCCUGGUAAUAUUGCACGAAAGUUAAAUGGGUAGAAUUGAUGAGAGAAUGAAGAAUCAUUAUGAGGGUUUGUUAGUAGGAGUUAAUGGAUUGGUUAUAGUAAUAGUAUUGAAUGUGGUGUUGGUAUCAUGUGGAUGAAUGCAUGAUUCAUUUUAUGUUUCUUGAUAUUGGCUCAAGGUUGACUGAAGCUUAGUAGGGAAGUUCAAAAGUUAGAAAGAUAGUUAGAGUAACCACUUUCCCUUCCAUCCUCAUUUUAUCCAUCAUUCGAGGAUGAAUGAUACCAAUGGAGAGAUAAUGUAACACCUCAAAAUUUCUAAGUUAAUCCCAAACCAUUCUUGAAUGACGUAUAAAGUUGUACUGAGGGAAUCUUAAUAUUUCGUAGGUAUUAGGUGUAACACUUCAAAAAUCCAAGAAAUAUUCUAGAUCCUAACAUAAGUUUCAUAAGUUUUAGACACUAUUUAAAGGUCCACUUUAAAUAUUACAAGUUAUUUAGGAAGUCUAGAAAUAAAAACGUCCAAAAAACGUCCAUGAUGUCCGGAAACUAGUUCAAGGAGUUACUAGCGUGCCUUAGCCUAUUUGACUAGAUUUAAGAAGUAGAAAAAUGAUGAAAAUUGGUGGAAUGGUGUAUAACUUGUGUUUAAUUUGACUUACGAUCGAAACGUCCAGGUACGAAUCCCCAAGGACAAACCAAGGGCCCUUGAGAAGGACCCUUCUACGUUGGAGUCAAAGACUUCCUGGGCAGUGUGCAUUGACGAAGGAAGUAGACGAGGCGUAUGUUGAUCAAAGUGGGUUUCAUCCAAUCUCAAAAUUUGAUGUUAUGAAUUGAUUUGAUUAUGAUUUAUUUUGCAUAUUAUGAAUAGAUUAACAAGUAUUAUAACUCAAUUAUGAUAUAUUUUAAUGGUUUGGUAUAUUUGUAGAAUAUGACCCUUUCCCCUUAACCCUAGGUUUUGAUUUUGAUAUGAAUUAGAUUGUAUUCGUUCAAUUGACUUGGUUAUUGGUUGAAUUACUACUAGAUGAUGUUAUUACACUAAUUAUGAAUGGAUUAUGAUGAUUUGUAGUCUUUCAUGCUAGUUCUUGAGAAAAUGAUCUAGGUUAUUAAGUAUGUUUUGAAUUGACCUAAGUAUCUUGUCUUAAGCUAUGAUCUAGCAUUGAAUUGUUAUGUAGUGAUUAUUCUAGCAUUGUUAUCAUGUUCAUUUUUGACUUGUGAUGAUGUAUAUACAAAUUGUGUUCAGUUGAGGUUUUGUGGUAAGACCGUGAUAAUGAACUAUGAAGAAGACUUAGUAAGUCAUAUGAUCCCUAUCCUUUAAUUCAAAUGGUGGUUAAUUGUGAUUAAGGCAUGAUGUUGCAUUGGACUAUGCCUUGUAUUAGGAAUUAUAGGAUGGUAUGAUGUUUACUUGAAAUGUCUUGACUAUGAUUUAUGAGGUAUUAGCUUAAGAUAUAAAUGUUAUAAGGAUGGUGAAUAAUUUAACAAUGUGCCAUGUCAAGAUAUAAGAAUGUUAAUGUGCUAGCCUCUUUGAUAUCAAUUGUAAUAAAGGACAAUCCUCAAGCAAUUAUUACUGAGUUGUGAUGAUGAUGAUGUUAUAAUAGGAUUAUAUCCUAUGACCUACAAUAAGAUAUGAUAAUUAAUAGAGACACUAAAGACAUCUCAAGAAGGGACUCUAGCUUAGCACCGAGUGAACUAGAGUGAGGAGUGUCACUUCCCACAAAGGAAAGGUAGGAUCACAAAUGUACUCUUAAGAUUGAAGACUACAAUGCAUGUAGCAUAAAUAGGGCCCCAACUAUAUCUCCUAGUUAUUGAACUAUGUUGCCUCCAUAGGAAUACUAGCUAGUGGAUCCACGUAGUUGCUAUGAUAAUGUUUCGGUUCUACCUUGGCAUGUAGUCUGCCUUCUUUCGGUGUAGGGUUUCAUGACACUGUAUUCCACAUUAGCUCAUGUGGUCUAUGUCAGUGAAGGCAAGAUGUUCUCAAAAGGUAAAAUGAACUAAAGGAAUGAACUCUAUUAAGGUGACCUAAGGGGAUUAGCUUAGUCUAGGUAGGGGUAUGGGACUCUACCUAUACAUUGCACUAGUUAGCCUUAAAGGAAGUGUUAAGGAGGAUGUUCUUAUGUAUGUAUAUUCUUAUAAAUAAAAAUGAUGUUUAUAUGACGAUCUUACAUGUAAAUGAUGAUAUGUGAUGUCCAUUGCUCUUAUGAACACAUACAUGGUCUAUAAUGCUAAAGCUAUGCUAUUGUGUACUCAUAAUGUUAUUUUAUGUGAAGUGGGAUGUUGGUCAUGAUUCUUGUUGAGUUAAUUGAUUGUGUAAGGUUAUGGGUCUUUCCUUAGUUAUUGCACUUAUUGACUUGUUAGGGGGUUAUGGGUAAUUAUCUUACUUUGGUUAUGUUGAAGUGUUCUCUUAUUCAUGCUUGUUGCCAUUAUGACUUGAUGAUAGAGUUACUUUGACUAUAUGUCUAAAUGCAUGAUAUGCAUGUUGGAUUGACUAGUUUUGAUGUUGUUAGUCUUGUAAUUUACAUGCCUAUGACUUCAUGAAUAUGUCCUAAGUGAUUUGGUAUGGUCUAGUAGAUUAUGCAUAAGUGUUUUCAAACAAAUUGCAUACCUAUAUGAAAUUUCCCUUUUCUUAGCAUGAUUUUAAAGUAUGUGUUCAUAUCGUCUCAUACUUAGUACAAGUGGUGUACUAACCCCAUUUCUUUCUUUAACCCAACAUUUUAGGUUCCAGUCGUUGAAGUGCUUUUGAAGAUGACUUGAUAUUAAUCCAAGUAGGGUUGGUCCUCACUUUCCGAGGGCAAGGUUAAUAUCAAGCUAUGAUAUUAUUCUAUUAUUAAACUCUCAUGUUUCUUUCCUUUUUAUGUAGUAUGGAAUAUUGUAUAGCCCCUGUGAGGCAUUCUUACUUUAACGUAUGGACUAUGCCCAAGUUCUUACACUCUUAUUAGAUUGUUAUGAGAUGAGAUGACUAUUAUGACUAUGUUAUAUAUAUAUGUGUGUGUGU
RNAcentral lists this long non-coding RNA (8003 nucleotides) under Solanum lycopersicum (tomato). RNAcentral's name for it is "long non-coding RNA (SLYC_LNC001124)". Lineage: Eukaryota; Viridiplantae; Streptophyta; Magnoliopsida; Solanales; Solanaceae. The record is from RNAcentral.